This is a long non-coding RNA of Gossypium arboreum, 696 nucleotides long. RefSeq lists it as uncharacterized. Lineage: Eukaryota; Viridiplantae; Streptophyta; Magnoliopsida; Malvales; Malvaceae. The record is from RefSeq and is a predicted model, not a curated record. The transcript has 3 exons.
UGUGGCACAUUUCAUGAGAGAAUAUGAUAGAAUUCUCUCAUCUUCCUUCUCUUCCAUUGCCUCCAUCAUUUCAUGAAAGGAAAGUUUUUUUCUUUUUUAAUUUGGUCAUUUUUACUAUUUUAAACCAAAACAAGUUUAAAUCCUUCCAAAAUUUCCAUAGAUUUUUUUACCGAAAUCGAUAGAAAAACCUUAUAACAAGCUUGGUUUCCUGAGAAGAGAGAUUAUGGUCAUCUUGGAGGAGAGAGAAAAGUGAAGAAAGAUUUUGAAGUAAAGAAACAAGUGAAAGAGAAGAGAAGUGAUUGUCAAGGGGUUGAUGAAGGAAAGAGGUAGCAAAGGAGUGAGAGAAGGAAGAAGAAAGCAAAUCCAAGCACUUAAGUAUCAUCAGAAACUUCAAUUGGUUGGAAUCUUGUCGGAGCCUAUCACACUAUCUACCGAUCAUUUUGGUAGAACGUUUUGGUUACGGUUAUAAAUGGCAUGUAUAAGGCUGAUAUGUAAUAGAUGUAUUUGUAUAUGCUUGGAUAUUUAUUACAAAUGUUAUGUAUUAAGCUUGGUAUAAGCUUAAUAUAUGUGCCUUUAAUCUUGGUGUAAAUAUGUUUAUAUAAAGUUGUUUUGGUCUUUUGAUAUAAACUUUAUUUAAGUGUUUGAAUCAUGGUAGGAAUGAAUGUGAAUGAAUAAGAAGAAAUGAUAAGUUUGGUA